Molecule: ribosomal RNA, 1420 nt
Filed under: Ocellularia profunda
Lineage: Eukaryota; Fungi; Ascomycota; Lecanoromycetes; Ostropales; Graphidaceae
Description: eukaryotic LSU rRNA
Rfam family: Eukaryotic large subunit ribosomal RNA
Source: RNAcentral
GGGGAUUGCCCUAGUAACGGCGAGUGAAGCGGCAACAGCUCAAAUUUGAAAUUUGGCCUCGCGGUCCGAGUUGUAAUUUGUAGAAGGUGCUUCCGGUGCGAUCGCGGUGCAAGUCCCUUGGAACAGGGCGUCCCAGAGGGUGAGAAUCCCGUACGCGGCCGACGAUCAAUCCCAUGUGUAGCCCUUUCGACGAGUCGAGUUGUUUGGGAAUGCAGCUCUAAAUGGGUGGUAAAUUUCAUCUAAAGCUAAAUAUCUGCCAAAGACCGAUAGCGCACAAGUAGAGUGAUCGAAAGAUGAAAAGAACUUUGGAAAGAGAGUUAAACAGUACGUGAAAUCGUUAAAAAGGAAGGGCUCGCAACCAGACUCGCUCGCGGGUGCUCAACCGCCCUUCGGGGCGGUGCAUUCUCCCGCGAUCGGGCCAGCAUCGGUUCUGGCGGCCGGAUAAAGGCCCUGGGAACGUAGCUCCUUUCGGGGAGUGUUACAGCCCGGGGUGCAAUGCGGCCAGCCGGGACCGAGGACCGCGCAUUCGCUAGGAUGCUGGCGUAAUGGUUGCCAGCCGCCCGUCUUGAAACACGGACCAAGGAGUCGACCACCGGGCAAGUGUUUGGGCGUUAAACCCAUGCGCGUAAUGAAAGUGAACGGAGGUGGGAGCCUUCGGGCGCACCAUCGACCGAUCCUGAUGUCUUCGGAUGGAUUUGAGUACGAGCCCCGUUGGUCGGACCCGAAAGAUGGCGAACUAUGCGUGAAUAGGGCGAAGCCAGAAGAAAUUCUGGUGGAGGCUCGCAGCGGUUCUGACGUGCAAAUCGAUCGUCAAAUUUGCGCAUAGGGGCGAAAGACUAAUCGAGCCAUCUAGUAGCUGGUUCCCGUCGAAGUUUCCCGUAAGUUGAGCUUCCACUUCGGCGCGACGCUUUUCGCUAAUUUUCUUUUUAUAGUCAGGAUAGCAGCAACGGAAACAGUCUCAUGAGGUAGAGCGAACGAUUAGAGGCAUGGGGGUUGAAACAACCUUCACCUAUUCUCGAACUUCGAAUAUGUGAGAAGUCCUUGUUACUUAGUUGAACGUGGUCAUUCGGAUGUAUCGUUGCUAGUGGGCCAUUUUUGGUAAGCAGAACUGGCGAUGCGGGAUGAACCGAACGUGAGGUUACGGUGCCGGAGUCACGCUCAUCAGAUCCCAGAAAAGGUGUUAGUUCAUCUAGACAGCCGGAACGUGGCCAUGGAAGUCGGAAACGUCUAAGGAGUGUGUAACAACUCACCGGCCGAAUGAACUAGCCCUGAAAAUGAAUGGCGCUCAAGGUUCGUUGAAUUUAAUUAUAAGCUCCCCCUAUCGUUUGAAUUAUCGCUGACUUCGAUCCAGCGUGACACCUAUACCUCGCCGCCGGGGCAAAUACUAUGCCUCGGCGAGUAGGCGGGCGUGGAGGUCCGU